RNAcentral lists this transfer RNA (64 nucleotides) under Glyptelasma annandalei. RNAcentral describes it as "tRNA-Asn". Lineage: Eukaryota; Metazoa; Arthropoda; Thecostraca; Poecilasmatidae. The record is from RNAcentral.
UUAAUCAUAGCUAAACAAGCAAUAUUAUUGUUAAUAAUAAGAUAAGAAAUUCCCUUUGAUUAAG